This 445-nucleotide ribosomal RNA is filed under the name uncultured bacterium. RNAcentral describes it as "partial 16S ribosomal RNA". It matches the Rfam family "Bacterial small subunit ribosomal RNA", at positions 354 to 796 of the family's 1533-position model. The record is from RNAcentral.
GUGAGGAAUAUUGCGCAAUGGAGGCAACUCUGACGCAGCCAUGCCGCGUGCAGGAAGAAGGCGCUACGCGUUGUAAACUGCUUUUAACCGGGAAGAAACCCCAGGACGUGUCCUGGGUUGACGGUACCGGAGGAAUAAGCACCGGCUAACUUCGUGCCAGCAGCCGCGGUAAUACGAAGGGUGCAAGCGUUAUCCGGAUUCAUUGGGUUUAAAUGGUGCGUAGGCGGAGCGUUAAGUCAGUGGUGAAAUCCUGCAGCUUAACUGUAGAAUUGCCAUUGAGACUGGCGCUCUUGAGUGCGGUUGAAGUGGGCGGAAUGUGCCGUGUAGCGGUGAAAUGCUUAGAUAUGGCACAGAACACCAAUUGCGAAGGCAGCUCACUAAGGCGAUACUGACGCUGAGGCACGAAAGCGUGGGGAUCGAACAGGAUUAGAAACCCUGGUAGUCC